Molecule: non-coding RNA, 381 nt
Organism: Suncus etruscus (white-toothed pygmy shrew)
Lineage: Eukaryota; Metazoa; Chordata; Mammalia; Eulipotyphla; Soricidae
Source: the annotation of a RefSeq genome assembly
AUGAGGUUCCCUGCUCAGCUUCUGGGUCUGCUGAUACUCUGGAUCCCAGGAGCUAAAGGAGAAGUUGUGCUGACUCAGAAUCCACUUUCCCUGACUGUUGUCCCCGGAGAAGCAGCCUCCAUUUCCUGCAAAUCUAGUGAGAGUCUGCUUUACGAUGAUGGAAAAAUCUAUCAAGAGUGGUUCCAUCAGAAACCAGGUCAGCCUCCAAGGCUCCUAUUCUAUCUAAUAUCCAAUCGGGAACCUGGAGUCCCAGACAGAUUCAGUGCCAGUGGUUCAGAGACAGAUUUCACUCUUAAAAUAAGUAGGAUAGAGCCGGAGGAUGUUGGAGUUUACUACUGUUGUCAAGUUACAAAGUAUCCUCACACAGUGAUACAGACCUGA